RNAcentral lists this ribosomal RNA (289 nucleotides) under uncultured Entrophospora. RNAcentral's name for it is "uncultured Claroideoglomus partial small subunit ribosomal RNA". It matches the Rfam family "Eukaryotic small subunit ribosomal RNA", at positions 628 to 917 of the family's 1831-position model. The record is from RNAcentral. Lineage: Eukaryota; Fungi; Glomeromycota; Glomeromycetes; Entrophosporales; Entrophosporaceae.
UCGUAGUUGAAUUUCGGGAUUGACACAUCGGUCGUGCCUUAAGGGGUAUGAACUGGUGUAGUCAGUUUCCCACCUUCUGGAGAACCGCGAUGUCCUUAAUUGGGUGCCGCGAGGAACCGGGACCUUUACUUUGAAAAAUUAGAGUGUUUAAAGCAGGCAUUUUGCUUGAAUACAUUAGCAUGGAAUAAUAAAAUAGGACGGAUGGUUCUAUUUUGUUGGUUUCUAGGAUCACCGUAAUGAUUAAUAGGGACAGUUGGGGGUAUUCAUAUUUCGGCGCCUUACGGGAAAC